Molecule: transfer RNA, 74 nt
Filed under: Zingiber officinale
Lineage: Eukaryota; Viridiplantae; Streptophyta; Magnoliopsida; Zingiberales; Zingiberaceae
Rfam family: tRNA
About the family: Transfer RNA (tRNA) molecules are approximately 80 nucleotides in length. Their secondary structure includes four short double-helical elements and three loops (D, anti-codon, and T loops). Further hydrogen bonds mediate the characteristic L-shaped molecular structure. tRNAs have two regions of fundamental functional importance: the anti-codon, which is responsible for specific mRNA codon recognition, and the 3' end, to which the tRNAs corresponding amino acid is attached (by aminoacyl-tRNA synthetases). tRNAs cope with the degeneracy of the genetic code in two manners: having more than one tRNA (with a specific anti-codon) for a particular amino acid; and 'wobble' base-pairing, i.e. permitting non-standard base-pairing at the 3rd anti-codon position.
Source: Rfam by way of RNAcentral
GGAUCCAUGGCGCAAUGGUAGCGCGUGUCUAACUCCAGAUCAAAAGGUUGCGUGUUAAAUUCACGUAGGGUUCA